CGCAAUCAGGAGCUCGGAAGCCCUGGCGAAAUCAAGCAGUGACGUGCCUCCUCCGUUCCUAACCCCAAAGCCGAAGCCACCAUGCACCUCACCAUAACCACUAGCAUCAGCCCUAAUAUGACCAUUAAAGUCCCCUCCAAUGACUAACUUCUCAGAAUGGGGAAUACUACUCACCAGAUCGUCCAAGCCCUCCCAAAAGUGCCUUUUAACCUCCUCGUCUAAGCCCGCGUGCGGGGCAUAAGCGCUGAUGACGUUGAGUACGCAACCCCCAAUAACCAACUUAAUAGACAUUAACCUAUCGUUCACUCGCCUAACCUCAACCACGGACUCCCUUAGAUCCCUAUCUACCAAGAUGCCCACUCUAUUCUUACCUCUCACGACCCCAGAAUACCACAGCUUAAACCCGUCUGUAUUCCUCGCCUUCGACCCUUUCCACCUAGUCUCCUGGACACAGGUUAUGUUAACAUAUGAAUAUGUCGCGACCCCAGAAUACCACAACUUAAACCCGUCUACAUUCCUUGCCUUCGAUCCUUUCCACCUAGUCUCCUGGACACAGGUUAUGUUAACCCUCCUCUUCUGAAGAACCUUCGCCAACUCAAUGUAAUUACCCGUCAGAGUGCCUAUGUUCCACGACCCAAUCCUUAAUCUAUGAGCGUCCGCUACCAUCUUCCAACCCUUACCUCCCGCCCUACCCGCAGGACCACUCCCUGCCCCCCUACUCACCCAAUACGCAAAAGGAUGCAAACUAGAUAGCAACAGAAUAAAUCUCACACGGAGUGCUAGCAAGAAUACGUAAAAAGGUGUACAGAGUAAGCAAGAGAGCGGAGGUACCAACUCCUGGUGGAAAAACCUGAAAGUAGCCUUUGAUGUGCCCGAAGGUCAACUGCUACCAACUCUUGCACGUCCCGGCCGGUGUUGCUUAGCUCUUCC
RNAcentral lists this long non-coding RNA (930 nucleotides) under Nicotiana benthamiana. RNAcentral describes it as "long non-coding RNA (NBEN_LNC031034)". Lineage: Eukaryota; Viridiplantae; Streptophyta; Magnoliopsida; Solanales; Solanaceae. The record is from RNAcentral.